Molecule: ribosomal RNA, 464 nt
Filed under: uncultured Anaerolineae bacterium
Lineage: Bacteria; Bacillati; Chloroflexota; Anaerolineae
Description: bacterial SSU rRNA
Rfam family: Bacterial small subunit ribosomal RNA
Source: RNAcentral
GGCGAACGGGUGAGUAACGCGUUUGGUGACCUGCCCCGAAGUCUGGGAUAACCCUGCAAAAGUGGGGCUAAUACCGGAUGUGGUCAUCGGAUUUAGAAACCGAUGUCUAAAGGAUUUAUUCGCUUCGGGAGGGGCCUGCGUCCCAUCAGCUAGUUGGUAGGGUAAUGGCCUACCAAGGCGACGACGGGUAGGGGACCUCAGAGGGUGGCCCCCCACAAUGGAACUGAAACACGGUCCAUACACCUACGGGUGGCAGCAGUAGGGAAUAUUGCACAAUGGGCGAAAGCCUGAUGCAGCAACGCCGCGUGUGCGAAGAAGGCCUUCGGGUCGUAAAGCACUUUUCUGCGAGAUGAGAAAGGACAGUAUCGUAGGAAUAAGUCUCGGCUAACUACGUGCCAGCAGCCGCGGUAAAACGUAGGAGGCGAGCGUUAUCCGGAUUCACUGGGCGUAAAGCGCGUGCAGGC